AACGAACGCUGGCGGCAUGCCUAACACAUGCAAGUCGAACGAGACCUUCGGGUCUAGUGGCGCACGGGUGCGUAACGCGGGGGAACCUGCCCUUAGGUUCGGAAUAACUCCCCGAAAGGGGUGCUAAUACCGGAUAAUGUCUUCGGACCAAAGAUUUAUCGCCUUUGGAUGGGCCCGCGUUGGAUUAGCUAGUUGGUAGGGUAAAAGCCUACCAAGGGGACGAUCCAUAGCUGGUCUGGGAGGAGGAUCAUCCACACUGGGACUGAGACACGGCCCAGACUCCUACGGGAGGCAGCAGUGGGGAAUAUUGGACAAGGGGCGAAAGCCUGAUCCAGCAAUGCCGCGUGAGUGAUGAAGGCCUUAGGGUUGUAAAGCUCUUUUACCCGGGAUGAUAAUGACAGUACCGGGAGAAUAAGCACCGGCCAACUCCGUG
RNAcentral lists this ribosomal RNA (433 nucleotides) under uncultured bacterium. Its description in RNAcentral is "partial 16S ribosomal RNA". It matches the Rfam family "Bacterial small subunit ribosomal RNA", at positions 29 to 507 of the family's 1533-position model. The record is from RNAcentral.